Equus asinus (donkey) is the source of this 912-nucleotide long non-coding RNA. The record is from Ensembl. Lineage: Eukaryota; Metazoa; Chordata; Mammalia; Perissodactyla; Equidae.
UUUUGAGGUAAACUAUGUACUGAUUCCAGGAACAAUUUUAAGUGACAUUUGUUAACAUAAAUUAACCCCCUGCACUUCUGGAAUUUCUUCCGUAUAGUCUUCCCUUUCCUGUGAGUGAUUCUCCGUGACAUCUCAGAAUGAGUAGGACCUCCUGUGUGAGCAGACGUUUGGAAAAGCCACAAGGGAUGAGUGUCAUUACACAAAUCUGCAGGGCCAUGGGUCAUAUUGAAAUGUGAACAUAUCCUAUGGUCCCAGUGUUGGGAGUACAUGAAGAGUGGAAGAGAAAGGAAGUGUGAAAUGGAGGAAGCCAGAAAUCAAUCUGAAGAAAAUUCUCCCAACAACAGUUGUGCAAACUUUCAGUUUCUCAUCAAUGAUUUGCUUUGCAAAGAUGCCUGGUCAAGAUGGACCUUCUCUCCUGACCAGAAUAUACUGCAGCAUAUACAGUUAUAAACACAUCCUACAUUAUUUUUCCAUUUUGAUGGGGACUAUGAGAAAUAAAAUACUAGACUUAUCAGAAUUCCUAUGAUUGUAGAGCACAAACUGGAAGCAGCAGUAAAAGCUAUGUGUAUUAAGCCACUGUAUUCAUCUAAACUAGGAGUAGUACAAAAUUUCAAUCAACUAUGCUAAAGGAGAGAGCGAGCUAUCUUUCUAUUCUCUCUGUAGAAAAUACUACAAAAUCAUUUUAAUAUGAAAAGGCAAAGAGUAUGCAGUCAAAAACGUAGGAAGACAGCAUAGUGGUAUGUCAAGCAGUCAGUUAAUAAAAAUAUGUCAUUUUUCUUUUCUUUUUUUUUUGAGGAAGAUUGGCCCUGGGCUAACAUCUGUGCCCAUCUUCUUCUACUUUAUAUGUGGGUCACCUGCCCCAACAUGGCUUGACAAGCAGUGCGUAGGAUCCGAACUGGCAAAUCCUAGGCU